CCUACGGGCGGCAGCAGUGAGGAAUAUUGGUCAAUGGACGAGAGUCUGAACCAGCCAAGUAGCGUGAAGGAUGACUGCCCUAUGGGUUGUAAACUUCUUUUAUAUGGGAAUAAAAUGUUCCACGUGUGGGAUUUUGUAUGUACCAUAUGAAUAAGGAUCGGCUAACUCCGUGCCAGCAGCCGCGGUAAUACGGAGGAUCCGAGCGUUAUCCGGAUUUAUUGGGUUUAAAGGGAGCGUAGGUGGAUUGUUAAGUCAGUUGUGAAAGUUUGCGGCUCAACCGUAAAAUUGCAGUUGAAACUGGCAGUCUUGAGUACAGUAGAGGUGGGCGGAAUUCGUGGUGUAGCGGUGAAAUGCUUAGAUAUCACGAAGAACUCCGAGUGCGAAGGCAGUUCACUGGACUGCAACUGACACUGAGGCCCGAAAGUGUGGGUAUCAAACAGGAUUAGAUACCCCUGUAGUC
RNAcentral lists this ribosomal RNA (460 nucleotides) under uncultured bacterium. RNAcentral describes it as "partial 16S ribosomal RNA". It matches the Rfam family "Bacterial small subunit ribosomal RNA", at positions 338 to 795 of the family's 1533-position model. The record is from RNAcentral.